Molecule: non-coding RNA, 26 nt
Filed under: Mus musculus (house mouse)
Lineage: Eukaryota; Metazoa; Chordata; Mammalia; Rodentia; Muridae
Source: RNAcentral
AGACACUUUCUGGGAAACCACAGUGG